UUUUAUGAGAGUUUGAUCCUGGCUCAGGACGAACGCUGGCGGCGUGCCUAAUACAUGCAAGUCGUACGCUUCUUUUUCCACCGGAGCUUGCUCCACCGGAAAAAGAGGAGUGGCGAACGGGUGAGUAACACGUGGGUAACCUGCCCAUCAGAAGGGGAUAACACUUGGAAACAGGUGCUAAUACCGUAUAACAAUCGAAACCGCAUGGUUUUGAUUUGAAAGGCGCUUUCGGGUGUCGCUGAUGGAUGGACCCGCGGUGCAUUAGCUAGUUGGUGAGGUAACGGCUCACCAAGGCCACGAUGCAUAGCCGACCUGAGAGGGUGAUCGGCCACAUUGGGACUGAGACACGGCCCAAACUCCUACGGGAGGCAGCAGUAGGGAAUCUUCGGCAAUGGACGAAAGUCUGACCGAGCAACGCCGCGUGAGUGAAGAAGGUUUUCGGAUCGUAAAACUCUGUUGUUAGAGAAGAACAAGGAUGAGAGUAACUGUUCAUCCCUUGACGGUAUCUAACCAGAAAGCCACGGCUAACUACGUGCCAGCAGCCGCGGUAAUACGUAGGUGGCAAGCGUUGUCCGGAUUUAUUGGGCGUAAAGCGAGCGCAGGCGGUUUCUUAAGUCUGAUGUGAAAGCCCCCGGCUCAACCGGGGAGGGUCAUUGGAAACUGGGAGACUUGAGUGCAGAAGAGGAGAGUGGAAUUCCAUGUGUAGCGGUGAAAUGCGUAGAUAUAUGGAGGAACACCAGUGGCGAAGGCGGCUCUCUGGUCUGUAACUGACGCUGAGGCUCGAAAGCGUGGGGAGCAAACAGGAUUAGAUACCCUGGUAGUCCACGCCGUAAACGAUGAGUGCUAAGUGUUGGAGGGUUUCCGCCCUUCAGUGCUGCAGCUAACGCAUUAAGCACUCCGCCUGGGGAGUACGACCGCAAGGUUGAAACUCAAAGGAAUUGACGGGGGCCCGCACAAGCGGUGGAGCAUGUGGUUUAAUUCGAAGCAACGCGAAGAACCUUACCAGGUCUUGACAUCCUUUGACCACUCUAGAGAUAGAGCUUCCCCUUCGGGGGCAAAGUGACAGGUGGUGCAUGGUUGUCGUCAGCUCGUGUCGUGAGAUGUUGGGUUAAGUCCCGCAACGAGCGCAACCCUUAUUGUUAGUUGCCAUCAUUCAGUUGGGCACUCUAGCAAGACUGCCGGUGACAAACCGGAGGAAGGUGGGGAUGACGUCAAAUCAUCAUGCCCCUUAUGACCUGGGCUACACACGUGCUACAAUGGGAAGUACA
This 1268-nucleotide ribosomal RNA is filed under the name Enterococcus faecium. RNAcentral describes it as "bacterial SSU rRNA". It matches the Rfam family "Bacterial small subunit ribosomal RNA", at positions 1 to 1241 of the family's 1533-position model. The record is from RNAcentral. Lineage: Bacteria; Bacillati; Bacillota; Bacilli; Lactobacillales; Enterococcaceae.